Long non-coding RNA from Acyrthosiphon pisum (pea aphid), 684 nucleotides. RefSeq lists it as uncharacterized. The record is from RefSeq and is a predicted model, not a curated record. NCBI's taxonomy places the organism in Eukaryota, Metazoa, Arthropoda, Insecta, Hemiptera, Aphididae. The transcript is spliced from 2 exons.
ACAAAAAAAACUAAAUAAAUUUAAAAUUGAAAAUGUCCAUAAACAACUCAAAACGAGUCAAAAUAUUUUCAAAAUUGGGUGUUGUAUAGUUUUACUGUCCAAAAUUCCAAACGGUGAUGAAAGACUCAAACACACAAAAAGUAAAGAAAAUUAUCCAUAUUUGUACAAUGGUUUUUACAAAUAUUUAAAUUUGAAUACUGUAAUUUCUUAACGCAGUAACACAAUAUUAUUAUGGUCUUAUAAUUAAUAUUUAUCUUGGUAACAUUGUAUAUCUAUUAGAUUUAUUUUUCAUUUUAAAUAUCUAGAAAACAGGUUUAAAACGAAAAUCGUUGAAGUUUUUGAAUCUGGCAACUUCAACCACCAACACCACCACCACCACCACAAUCGCCACCACUGCUACCGCCGUCACCGCCACCACCGUUACCGCUAUCACCACCACCAGCACCACUAACGUUGUUACCGCCGCCGCCACCACCACUACCACUGUAAAUGUUACCGCCACCACCACUACCACUGUUACCGCCACCACCACCACCAACGACGACGUGGAAAUUUUUGUAUAACAUAUUUGAGUGAGACAACUUAUCACUGCCACAAACUAAGAAGAGACUUCUCGUCCUCGUCACCUAGUAGGUACUGAUUUCUGCUGUGCGAUUUUUUUUUUUUUGUAAACAACAUGCGAAU